This 427-nucleotide ribosomal RNA is filed under the name uncultured bacterium. RNAcentral describes it as "partial 16S ribosomal RNA". It matches the Rfam family "Bacterial small subunit ribosomal RNA", at positions 355 to 774 of the family's 1533-position model. The record is from RNAcentral.
UGGGGAAUAUUGCACAAUGGGCGCAAGCCUGAUGCAGUCAUGCCGCGUGUGUGAAGAAGGCCUUCGGGUUGUAAAGCACUUUCAGCGAGGAGGAAGGGGUUGAGUUUAAUACGCUCAAUCAUUGACGUUACUCGCAGAAGAAGCACCGGCUAACUCCGUGCCAGCAGCCGCGGUAAUACGGAGGGUGCAAGCGUUAAUCGGAAUUACUGGGCGUAAAGCGCACGCAGGCGGUUUGUUAAGUCAGAUGUGAAAUCCCCGCGCUUAACGUGGGAACUGCAUUUGAAACUGGCAAGCUAGAGUCUUGUAGAGGGGGGUAGAAUUCCAGGUGUAGCGGUGAAAUGCGUAGAGAUCUGGAGGAAUACCGGUGGCGAAGGCGGCCCCCUGGACAAAGACUGACGCUCAGGUGCGAAAGCGUGGGGAGCAAACA